RNAcentral lists this ribosomal RNA (247 nucleotides) under uncultured bacterium. RNAcentral's name for it is "partial 16S ribosomal RNA". It matches the Rfam family "Bacterial small subunit ribosomal RNA", at positions 524 to 776 of the family's 1533-position model. The record is from RNAcentral.
UACGGAGGGUGCGAGCGUUGUCCGGAAUCACUGGGCGUAAAGGGCGCGUAGGUGGCUGGGGAAGUCGGCGGUGAAAGCCCGGAGCUCAACUCCGGGUCGGCCGUCGAGACUCCUCGGCUCGAGCUCACUAGAGGCAGAUGGAAUUCCGGGUGUAGCGGUGGAAUGCGUAGAGAUCCGGAAGAACACCGGUGGCGAAGGCGGUCUGCUGGGGUGAGGCUGAGGAGCGAAAGUGUGGGGAGCGAACAGG